GAGAGAGCUGGCGGUCCUUACCUGCGGCGUACGGACUGCUCUGGUGGUCCCUGAGGGUACCCAAGCUGCAGGAUCCCGGCGUGAGGGACGGGCAGCCGGACGUGGCCCCAAAAGUGGUCCUUAUCGGGUUAUACUGGAAGCCACUGGCCUGGCUGCAGGAACUGAAGUCCGCGUAAGCUGAAGCCAGGCUCGAGGUGUCCAUCCCGGCCAUACAGGACUCGUAGGCAGAGGAAUUGAGCACCCCCCAAGACAGCAUGUGGCUGGGGCAGACGGACAGCCAGCAGGUAGAGAAUUGCAGGCUGUAGUGGCUGAAAUCUCAGACAUAGCCCAUUGCCAAGAACAUCAAGAAGUCAUUGAAUCCAUCCCUCUGCCUCAAGGCCUGCUUUCUCUUCCAGUCAAUUCUGGAUAGAAG
This is a long non-coding RNA of Meriones unguiculatus (Mongolian gerbil), 412 nucleotides long. RefSeq lists it as uncharacterized. The record is from RefSeq and is a predicted model, not a curated record. Lineage: Eukaryota; Metazoa; Chordata; Mammalia; Rodentia; Muridae. The transcript is spliced from 3 exons.